This 350-nucleotide unclassified non-coding RNA is filed under the name fungal sp. Its description in RNAcentral is "partial internal transcribed spacer region". The stretch from base 1 to 46 matches the Rfam family "Eukaryotic small subunit ribosomal RNA", at positions 1786 to 1831 of the family's 1831-position model. The record is from RNAcentral. Lineage: Eukaryota; Fungi.
AAGUCGUAACAAGGUAUCCGUAGGUGAACCUGCGGAUGGAUCAUUAUCACGUAUCUCACGUAUAAACCAUUGUGAACUGUACCCACCUUGGAGAAAAUAAGAUAGUGUUGGAGAUAGCGUUACAACGGAACUCCUAGUGAUUUAGUUCCCAGUUAUCAUUCAACCUUUUAAAAGUACUCUUUUUAAUGCUUGCUUUCUCUGAGUGUAUUCAAAUUAAUCACUAUUUUAAUUUACCUUUUAAACCUUUACACUUUAACCUUAAACUGAUCUUUUUCUUACUCCCGUAAUACGGAGAAGAAAUUCAUUACGAAACAUAAGAACAACUCUUAGCAACGGAUAUCUUGGUUCUC